Molecule: ribosomal RNA, 490 nt
Filed under: uncultured bacterium
Lineage: Bacteria
Description: partial 16S ribosomal RNA
Rfam family: Bacterial small subunit ribosomal RNA
Source: RNAcentral
AUUGAACGCUGGCGGCAGGCCUAACACAUGCAAGUCGAACGGUAACAGGAAGACGCUUGCUUCUUUGCUGACGAGUGGCGGACGGGUGAGUAAUGUCUGGGAAACUGCCUGAUGGAGGGGGAUAACUACUGGAAACGGUAGCUAAUACCGCAUACCGUCGCAAGACCAAAGUGUGGGCCCUUCGGGCCUCUUGCCUUCGUUUGUGCCCAGAUGGGAUUAUCUAGUAGGUGGGGUAACGGCUCACCUAGGCGACGAUCCCUAUCUGUUCUGAGAGGAUGACCAGCCACACUGGAACUGAGACACGGUCCAGACUACUACGGGAGGCAGCAGUGGGGAAUAUUGCACAAUGGGCGAAAGCCUGAUGCAGCCAUGCCGCGUGUAUGAAGAAGGCCUUCGGGUUGUAAAGUACUUUCAGCGGGGAGGAAGGGAGUAAAGUUAAUACCUUGGCUCAUUGACGUUACCCGAAGAAGAAGCACCGGCUAACUCCGUG